UGCAGUCGAGCGGCAGCACGGGUACUUGUACCUGGUGGCGAGCGGCGGACGGGUGAGUAAUGCCUAGGAAUCUGCCUAGUAGUGGGGGAUAACGUCCGGAAACGGGCGCUAAUACCGCAUACGUCCUACGGGAGAAAGUGGGGGAUCUUCGGACCUCACGCUAUUAGAUGAGCCUAGGUCGGAUUAGCUAGUUGGUGAGGUAAUGGCUCACCAAGGCUACGAUCCGUAACUGGUCUGAGAGGAUGAUCAGUCACACUGGAACUGAGACACGGUCCAGACUCCUACGGGAGGCAGCAGUGGGGAAUAUUGGACAAUGGGCGAAAGCCUGAUCCAGCCAUGCCGCGUGUGUGAAGAAGGUCUUCGGAUUGUAAAGCACUUUAAGUUGGGAGGAAGGGCAGUUACCUAAUACGUGAUUGUUUUGACGUUACCGACAGAAUAAGCACCGGCUAACUCUGUGCCAGCAGCCGCGGUAAUACAGAGGGUGCAAGCGUUAAUCGGAAUUACUGGGCGUAAAGCGCGCGUAGGUGGUUUGUUAAGUUGAAUGUGAAAGCCCCGGGCUCAACCUGGGAACUGCAUCCAAAACUGGCAAGCUAGAGUAUGGUAGAGGGUGGUGGAAUUUCCUGUGUAGCGGUGAAAUGCGUAGAUAUAGGAAGGAACACCAGUGGCGAAGGCGACCACCUGGACUGAUACUGACACUGAGUGCGAAAGCGUGGGGGAGCAAACAGGAUUAGAUACCCUGGUAGUCCACGC
This 750-nucleotide ribosomal RNA is filed under the name Pseudomonas sp. RNAcentral's name for it is "bacterial SSU rRNA". It matches the Rfam family "Bacterial small subunit ribosomal RNA", at positions 56 to 800 of the family's 1533-position model. The record is from RNAcentral. Lineage: Bacteria; Pseudomonadati; Pseudomonadota; Gammaproteobacteria; Pseudomonadales; Pseudomonadaceae.